RNAcentral lists this ribosomal RNA (376 nucleotides) under uncultured organism. RNAcentral describes it as "partial 16S ribosomal RNA". It matches the Rfam family "Bacterial small subunit ribosomal RNA", at positions 527 to 896 of the family's 1533-position model. The record is from RNAcentral.
GUAGGUGGCAAGCGUUGUCCGGAAUUAUUGGGCGUAAAGCGCGCGCAGGCGGUUCUUUAAGUCUGAUGUGAAAGCCCACGGCUCAACCGUGGAGGGUCAUUGGAAACUGGAGAACUUGAGUACAGAAGAGGAAAGCGGAAUUCCACGUGUAGCGGUGAAAUGCGUAGAGAUGUGGAGGAACACCAGUGGCGAAGGCGGCUUUCUGGUCUGUAACUGACGCUGAGGCGCGAAAGCGUGGGGAGCAAACAGGGAUUAGAUACCCUGGUAGUCCACGCCGUAAACGAUGAGUGCGUAAGUGUUAGGGGGGUUUUCCGCCCCCCUUAGUGCUGCAGCUAACGCAUUAAGCACUCGCCCUGGGAGUACGGCCGCAAGGCUG